RNAcentral lists this ribosomal RNA (325 nucleotides) under uncultured bacterium. RNAcentral describes it as "bacterial SSU rRNA". It matches the Rfam family "Bacterial small subunit ribosomal RNA", at positions 30 to 353 of the family's 1533-position model. The record is from RNAcentral.
AUUGAACGCUGGCGGCGUGCUUAACACAUGCAAGUCGAUCGGUAACAGGUGUAGCAAUACAUGCUGACGAGAGGCGGACGGGUGAGUAAUGCUUGGGAAUCUGCCUAUUAGUGGGGGACAACCCGGGGAAACGUCGGGCUAAUACCGCAUACGCUCUACGGAGGAAAGCCGGGGACCGCAAGGCCUGGCGCUAAUAGAUGAGCCCAAGUCGGAUUAGCUAGUUGGAGGGUAACGGCCUACCAAGGCGACAAUCCGUAGCUGGUCUGAGAGGACGACCAGCCACACCGGAACUGAGACACGGUCCGGACUCCUACGGGAGGCAGCA